Molecule: long non-coding RNA, 1010 nt
Filed under: Helianthus annuus (common sunflower)
Lineage: Eukaryota; Viridiplantae; Streptophyta; Magnoliopsida; Asterales; Asteraceae
Description: hypothetical non coding rna
Source: RNAcentral
UUGCACUUAGAUCACUCAAAUACUUAAAACAAUCUCCUAGCAAAGAAGUUUUGAUAGGUAAAGGUUCUUGUCCAGAUUGAAAGCAUAUGCCGAUUCAGAUUGGGCAAAGUGUAUAGAUACUUGAAAGUCCGCCACAGGGUUCCAUGUUUUUUUAAGAGAUUCUUUGGUCUCUUGGAAAAACUAAAAACAAAGUAUAGUGUAUCGGUCAUCAGUUGAAGCUGAGUAUAGAGCAAUGUGUGCAUUAAGCUGUGAGGUUAUGUGGCUUAUAAAUGUGUUGAAAGAGUUGCAUGUUGAAGUCCGAUUACUGUUCCAUUAUGUUUUGAUAGUAGAACAGCAGUUGUUUCUGCUGUUAAUUCUGUUUCUCAAGAAAGAAUAAAAUAUUUCAAACUUGAUUUGUUUUUUCCUAAGAAAAAAAAAUAAAUGGAAUUAUUAACACUGUUAAUAUUGAGUCAAAGAAUAAGCUUGCUAAUAUUUUAUACAAAAAGUCUUUUAAUAGCUCAACAUGAGAUUUGUAAAAAACUUCAGGUUAAUAAUUUGUUUAGCUUUUGAAUUGGAGGGGGGGGGGUUAAAAAUAUAACAUACAUACUCUUGGGCUUGGAUCUCGUUAUAGUGGGAUUGCAGACCGAUUAGAAGAGUUGAAGGGUCCGACCAGGUUUUUAACAGGUCAUGGAUCUUAUAAAUGGCCUCCUUAUGUGCAUUAUUGGCUCAUUCAGAUAUUUGACAGCUUACACUUUCUCUUUUUAGGGUAUCUCAUCGAAACCCUUGAUUUAGGGCAUAUUGAUCUUGUGUUGUUAUUCAGAUCGUUAGUUUGUUUGUAGAUUGUGAGUGAGAGUUUAUAAGAUCUAGUUGAUGAUGUGUGUUGUAUUAGUUCUAGAUCUGUUUCAGGUUUUGUGAUCUGUUGAAUAAAGUUGUUCAGUUGUUUCUUUCAUCUGAAAUACCAGUUUUGACACUAUAGACUAUAGCAAUUGGACUUCAUGCAUAUAUGGAAUAAGAACUUAUUGAUAUUUUAA